This 508-nucleotide ribosomal RNA is filed under the name uncultured bacterium. Its description in RNAcentral is "partial 16S ribosomal RNA". It matches the Rfam family "Bacterial small subunit ribosomal RNA", at positions 30 to 523 of the family's 1533-position model. The record is from RNAcentral.
AUUGAACGCUGGCGGCAUGCCUUACACAUGCAAGUCGAACGGCAGCGGGGGAGAAGCUUGCUUUUCCUGCCGGCGAGUGGCGAACGGGUGAGUAAUACAUCGGAACGUGCCCUGUAGCGGGGGAUAACUAGUCGAAAGAUUAGCUAAUACCGCAUACGACCUGAGGGUGAAAGUGGGGGACCGCAAGGCCUCAUGCUAUAGGAACGGCCGAUGUCUGAUUAGCUAGUUGGUGGGGUAAAGGCCUACCAAGGCGACGAUCAGUAGCUGGUCUGAGAGGACGAUCAGCCACACUGGGACUGAGACACGACCCAGACUCCUACGGGAGGCAGCAGUGGGGAAUUUUGGACAAUGGGCGAAAGCCUGAUCCAGCAAUGCCGCGUGUGUGAAGGAGGCCUUCGGGUUGUAAAGCACUUUUGUCCGGAAAGAAAUGGCUCUGGUUAAUACCUGGGGUCGAUGACGGUACCGGAAGAAUAAGGACCGGCUAACUACGUGCCAGCCGCCGCCGUAA